Molecule: ribosomal RNA, 495 nt
Filed under: uncultured bacterium
Lineage: Bacteria
Description: partial 16S ribosomal RNA
Rfam family: Bacterial small subunit ribosomal RNA
Source: RNAcentral
GACGAACGCUGGCGGCGUGCCUAAUACAUGCAAGUAGAACGCUGAAGGAGGAGCUUGCUUCUCUGGAUGAGUUGCGAACGGGUGAGUAACGCGUAGGUAACCUGCCUGGUAGUGGGGGAUAACUAUUGGAAACGAUAGCUAAUACCGCAUAAUAGCAGUUGUUGCAUGAUAACUGUUUGAAAGGUGCAAUUGCACCGCUACCAGAUGGACCUGCGUUGUAUUAGCUAGUUGGUGGGGUAACGGCUCACCAAGGCGACGAUACAUAGCCGACCUGAGAGGGUGAUCGGCCACACUGGGACGGAGACACGGCCCAGACUCCUACGGGAGGCAGCAGUAGGGAAUCUUCGGCGAGGGACGGAAGUCUGACCGAGCAACGCCGAGUGAGUGAAGAAGGUUUUCGGAUCGUAAAGCUCUGUUGUAAGAGAAGAACGAGUGUGAGAGUGGAAAGUUCACACUGUGACGGUAUCUUACCAGAAAGGGACGGCUAACUACGUG